Molecule: long non-coding RNA, 10550 nt
Filed under: Homo sapiens (human)
Lineage: Eukaryota; Metazoa; Chordata; Mammalia; Primates; Hominidae
Description: non-protein coding LINC01094:27
Source: RNAcentral
GGAUCUACUUACCAACGCAGAAAAUGAUACACACGGAUUCGAUUUAGGCACGCUACAUUCAAAUGACUUGGAAGAGCAGGUUCUCUGAGCCAGGAUACUAAAGUCCCUGUUUAGGAAAGAGCCACGUUGUAUGUUUACCCUACCACAAAGAUACAGUCAUGUGCCUGGGAAAGAUUGAUGCCAGCUCCAGAAAGGCAUCCGAAUGGUCUAAGUAAUGCCAUCCAUCUGUCAGUAAUAGAUUCAGAAAUGGUGCUGGCAGAGGAAACAGCAGCAAUGAUGCUCUGCGAGCCUGACUCAGGGCCAGCAGUGAUGGCAGCCCAAGAAUUCUGGAGGAAAGUGGCUCUGGGAAUUGAACAGUGGCUCAGUGAUGUUGGGGCCACCAAGUCUGCAAUUCUCCCUACCUGUUCUUCAUGGUUGUAAGAUGACUGCUGCAAUUCUCGGCAUCAUGUGCAUGUUAAUGUCAGGAGGAAGAAAGGAAGAGGGAGCACUGGGAUGUUACAUUCAUUUUGUCAGGAAAAGCAAAGCCUUUCCAGACAGCUCCGAAACUUGCUUACCUCUCAUUGGCCAGCACCAUCACUUGACCACUUGUCCACUCCUAGCUGCAAGGAAAGUGGCAAAGUAGAAGGUAUUUGAGAAUGUCUGCUGGGUUAGCCAAAACAAUAGUGACUUCUACACCCAAUUUUCUGGGCACUGCAGAAGUAUCCUUGAGUCCUAUGUGAUCAGAGGGAGAGCAAACCUCAAUAAUGAAACAGAUUCAAUUUCCAUCACCCAGUGAGACACCAUGGGAUUAGAAUAAAUUUUUAAAAAAACAAAUUGAAAAAAAUGCAUUUUUAAAACAACAAAAUCAGAAAGGAUGAAAGGUGAUAUUUCUAGCAUAUCAGUUUGUGGUGGUAAAUUAAUUACCUUAUACAAAGGCCUCAGUGACUUUCUUCUCCUUACCUAACGAAUCAUCUUUAAAAUAAGUAAAAUAAAGAAACAAGAGCAGCAGCAGAUGCUUCCUAAAAAGAAGUUACCAAAUCUGUUCACCACAAACCUGAGAAUUCAACUGUGGACAUUUGGACACCAGCAAUGAACAUGAAACUCAGCUUAUGAGGCAUAUUUGGCUAAAGGUCAAGGUGACUUAAAGUUCAUCAUAGGACAUCUACAAUUUGCAAAGCAGGUGACUGGAUAUGGACUCCUUCCAAGUCUCAUUUAAUUGGAUAAUGCCUACGUUUUAAGUAUCAGAAGUGAGUCUUUCUCUAUUAAAUGAAGUCAGUUCCACUAAAACCUAAAUCUUGUUUGGCAGGCACUCCAUGUUUCUUAAUUUUUAUUCCAUGCUGUAUAUUCUUUUAGACUUGAUUUUCACUUUUUUUUCUUUUUUCCUGUACAUUUAUCUUUGCUGUGAAACAAAGUGCCCUGCUUUGAAGGACAGGUUUGUGGGCUGCUGGUGGUGAGACAACAGCAGUCCUUCCAAGUCUUCCUCCCAUCACUCUGUUAGCUCUCCCUUUGUUUUUAAUUAGCAUUACACCAGUUAAUUCUGUUAUCUCUUAACCCUGGUUCUGCAUCCUCUUCUUCUUUUCUAUUCCUUACUCCGCUCCUGUUUUUUCUUGUUCUGCUUUUCCAAGAAAUGUCUUGUCUCCUCAUCAGUUGACUGUCUUCUCUUUCCAGAGGGACCAUAAAGGUGCCAGCCUAAGGAACACGUAAAACGUGGGAACAGACAAACAAGCUGCUGCCUAUUACAGAGAUAGAUAAUUAACUUUGGACCAUUACAUGCAAUUCAUCAGCUUAUCUUUUUCAAACUUUAUAUAAGAAGUCAUUUCCCAAUGGUAACCACUUGCCAGCUGCAACUUUGACGCAUAUUAUCAGGAUAGGUGAGAUUGAUGGGGGCCCUUUGAACUCUUCCCAGGGAAUUAUCUUUAUAAUGUUACAGUUUUCUCUAUAGCAUGGUCAUAUUGUUAACAUUGGUUAUAAGGUCAUAUGGUUAGUAUGGUUAGUAUUGGUGGCUCACAGCUGUAAUACCAGCACUUUGGGAGGCCAAGGUGGGAGGAUCACUUGAGCCCUGGUGUUCAAAACCAGCUCUGGAAACAUAGCAAGACCUUGUCUCUACAAAAAAAAAUUAAAUAAAUUAAAAGAUUAGCUGGGCAUGGUGGCACAUGCCUGUAGUCCUCACUACUUGGGAAACUAAGGUGGGAGGAUCCUUUGAGCUUGGGAGGUUGAGGCUGCAGUGAGCUGUGGUUGUGCCAUGGCACUCCAGCCUGGGUGACAGAGUGAGAGCCUGUCUCAAAAAAAAAAAAAAAAAAAAAAAAAAGUACCUGUAAGGUCUUUGGGAUUUUGAAGAUGAAAGGUGUUGCAUAAAUUGAAUGAAUUCACUUAGAGAGAUAGAAGGCAACUACAGGGAAUAUUACGUACAUCAUGGAGCGGAAAGCACUAAGGCCUGUGGAAUUAUUCUCAGUGACACGUCGUUGAGGGCAGUGGUCCACAUGUUUUGAACAUGGUUUCUCCCAGGUGAAAAGGAUGAGUAAUUUGUUCUCCUUCACAUGUGUGUAUGUAGGUCUUAUACACAGCAGAUUUGCCACAAAACAAAUGAAGAUUACACUUUGGGCCCCUCUCUCACAUGAGCCCCUUCCAAAGUUCUGUUUGCUAAUUUUACAUUUUGUAAUUUCUUAUUAUUUUUCUUAAAGAAGCCUCCUCCAAUUGCAUAAACUUCAAGCCUCACAAAAUUUGGAUCCAUACCUGAGCCAACAUACAAUACAAUUUUCCAUUUCUAACUUUUAGUUGUACCUAGUGUUUUAUUGGAAAUGAUCAAGUACAUGAGUGGUGUCUUUUUAAAAAAUUUACUUUAUUUGCUUCUCUAGCUUCAUCGUUAGUUAGGCAGUUAAAUCUAACCAUUUGGAGGUAUUUUCAUAUAACCUCCAUUGAGGACAAUUUGGCAAUAGCUUUUAAAAUUAUAAAUAUAUUUGUACAGUUAUAAGCUGCCAUAUCUAUAAAACUAUUUGAUAGACAAAAGUUGAAAACCCUCCAAGAGCUCAUCAAUAAAAGAUUAAAUUAAUUAUGAUACAUCCAUAUGAGCACUGAGCAGCUGUGAAAAAAAUGAGGAAGUAAUUCCUGUGCUGAUAUGGGAAGACUUCCAAGACAUGUUGUUAAGUACAGAAUGGUGUAUACAGUAUGCUAUAUAGUGUGGUAAAAGGUUUAGGGAUAAGCAUUUAUAUUUAUAACUGUUUAUAUUUACAUAAAGUAAUUCUGAAAGGAUACAAAAAAGCUAACAAAAGAGAUUACCUGUGGUAGUGUGGGGCUUGGGGAUUGGAUGGGUGAGAAACAGUAGUGGAAAUGAGAUAUUGUACAGUUUAAGGCAUUAUACACCUAUAAAAACAUGGGAAUGUAUUACCUACUCAAAAAGUGAAAUUAAGAGAGAUACAAGAAACUGUUUGGAUGUUCCUUCCCGUUUCAAUGUAUCUAUAUUUUUUCAGCCCUCAAAGUUAUUAUAAAUGUCAUUAUAAUAACUUCAUAAAGCUUCCCCUAUAAUGAGAAUCUUACCAUUCUCCUAACUCCAAUAGCACUGUAAUCCACCUCUGUUAGGACACAUCACUCUUCAUCAUGUGUGAUUAUUAUUUGCAGAUAUCAUCUUCAAGGCUCUUCUCUAUUUACCACCUGCCAUUCUUGUUCUCACCUCUACAUGACCUUCACAUUUUAUUUCUCUCGGUUUUUUGGACAAGCUACAUUCCCUUCCACAGAGAAGGCUUCCCUGACCCCUUUCACUUGGUUGGAUUACCUUGCUAUUCUUUUCUAUCUUUGUACAUUCCUUUUCAAAAUACUUAUCUCCCUUGUUGUUACCUAUAAUGUCUGUCUUCUUUACUCAAGAGUCUAGACAAAAAGCUCCACGCCAGCCUCGGCUGUGUUUGUAUUGUUUACGUCUGUGUUCCUAGUGCUUAAUAAAAUACCUAGCAAGGGUUAAUAAGUACUUGUUGACUGGAAGGGAAUGACUUCCUUCCCUUACUAGAGAGUGAUUUCCUUACAGGCGAGAUGUGUCAACCUUCUAUAGCCCACAUAAAAUAAAGGACAAUAUCUCCUAUUGGAUAAAAGACAAGAAUUUACAUAUGAGUUUUGUCAUUUACCAUACCAGCUCUGGGAUCUUAACUUUUUAGCCUCUCUGGGCUUCAGAGCUCUCAUCUACAUUAAGUUUUUCAUUCAUUCUGUCAUUCAAUAAAUAUUUAUGGAAUGCUUAGCAUGUGCCACUAGUCUAGCAACUGUGGAUACUGAAGUACGCAAGGCAGAAUAGUACUUGCUAUCUGAAGCACACGGUUUAAUUGGGGUGGGGAAAGAGUUGGUGGGGAGGGUCUCAUUAAACAUAUAAGCCAAAUAAACCAAAAUUACAGGUAGAGUUAAGGCCAUGGCAGAGCAACUGAAGGUGAUGAAUUCAGAGAGGCCAGGAAGGGACCCUCUGAAGCGAUCAUAUCUGAACUGAGUUUUUGAGUCAACUAAAUGAGAUAGUGUCUGUGAAUGUCUUAGAAUCAUGUCUGGCAUGUAAUAAGUGUCAUAAAUGAUAAGUAUUACUAUUUAUAAAAACUUGUCAAAAAAUGAACCAAAAAUACAAGCAGCUUGUCUUUCACAUAUAAAAUACUAUAGUUGCAACAUGUAUAUGUCUUUGUAUAGUGAGAAAGCAUAUUGUAUGUAUAUUAUAUUUCAUUUGAGUAAGUUAUUUUUUAACUGAAGGAAUCUCCUAUUUUGGUUCUGAAAUAGUUAACGUUCCUUUUAAGUAGUCUCAUUUAUACCUUGAGAGUGAUUUAAUUACCCACAGCAUCUGUUUAACAUUGUACUCACAGAGAAAUCACAGAAACGUAUGCAACAUUGGUUGUUCCUAAGUAGAUUCAAUGUUCUCUAAGGUCUCAUUAACCUGUAAGUUCUCACAUGUUUGUUACAUCUGAGCUAAUGAAGAAAUAGCCAGGGGUAAGGAACUGAGAAAGAGACUAUGGCUGUCUCAACACAAACCCAUUCCAGGACUGUAAAAAAUAUCUGACAAGUCAUAUCUUCCCAGUGUGGUAGUAAAAUCACUGGAGUGUAUUGGAUGGUAUAAGCAACUGAAGAGGAUUAAGAAUGGCCUCUGUGGCUGGGCACAGAGGUUCACGCUUGUAAUCUCAGAACAUUGGGAGGCUUAGGUGGGAGAAUCACUUGAACUCAGGAGUCUGAGACCAGCUUGGGCAACAUAGGAAGACCCCCACCUCUACAAAAAAAAAUUAAAAAUUAGCUGGGUCUCGUGGUGCACGUCUGUGGUCCCAGCUACUCAAGAGGCUGAGGUGGGAGGAUUGCUUGGGCCCAGGAGGUUGAGGCUGCAGUGAGCCAAGAUCACACCACUGCACUCAAGCCUAGGUGAUGGAGCAAUAACCACUCUAGAAAAAAAAAAAGAAAAAAGAAAGGAAAAAAAAAAAGAAUGGUCUCUUUGCCAGGCAUUUCUCCUUUAGUCCCUAAAAAACAUAGGCAGUAGGUAGCUGCCUCAAGUUGGAUUCUUCAGAAGCUGACCCUUAGACGCAGGAGAGAGAAGUGUAAGAUGGGGAUAAAAGUCUCUUUUCCAGGUAAAGUCUCUGCCUGGGCUGGGGUAUUCUAGGGUAAUGUGUAAAUUACACAUUGAAGUUUGUCCUUAUUUGAGGUUAGAGAAUUAGGCUUUCAAACUCCUGCACCAGUCACUCACUGGCUAUGACCCCAAGCAGCUCCAGUAGCCCAAGGGCAGUUCCCCAAAGACAGCCACAGAUAUGGGCUGGGCAAGCAAAUGACAGAGGGGCUUUCUGCACAGAAAUGAUGAAGGAGGCCCACAGAAUCAGGGCAGAGCCCUACCCGUGCUCUACGGCAUUCAUAUCCCCAAUUUACAUGGGAGAAAAUCCGACACUCAGAGAGGUCAAGUACUUCAUUAAAGGUAACUGUUUAAGGGGCAGAGCUUGGCUACAAACCCAGACAGAUUUGACUCCACAGUUCAUGCUCACUCUUCUCUACCAAAUGUGCCUCCCUUUCCUGACCAUCAGUUAUAUAUUCAGGAACAUAUUCUGUAUUUAUAUAAAUAGACAUUAUUAACCUAGCUUCCUGAGGCAGAAGAUUCUAUCAGGAAUUGUAGUGAAAUAUUAUAUUUGGGGAUCUCUAGAAGAGCACUACCUAAAAUCAAUGCAAUGAAAGCUACCUGUGUAAUUUAAAAUUUACUAGUGCUCUCAAUAAAAAGGAAAAUAAAUAAGAGAAAUUAAAUUAAAUAAUAUAUUUUAUUUUACCCAACAUACCCAAAAUAUUAUUUCAACAUAUAAUCAAUAUUUUAAAAUGUAAAAUUUUUUAUACAAUGUAUUUUUGUGUCCUUUACACUUGUAGCAUGUCUCAAUUUGGUUGUGAAAUAUUUAUCAAAAACAUUGCCAGGUGUGGUGGCUUAUGGCUGUAAUCUCAGCACUUUGGGAGGGAGGCAGAUUACUUGAGGUCAGGAGUUGGAGACCAGCCUGGCCAACAUGAAACCUCAUCUCUAUUAAAAAUACAAAAAUUAGCCAGGCAUGGUGGCACAUGCCUAUAAUCCCAGCUACUUGGGAGGCUGAGGCAGGAGAAUCACUUGCACCAGGGAGGCAGUGGUUGCAGCGAGCAGAGAUCUUACCCCUGCACUCAAGCUUGGGCAACCGAGCGAGAUUCCAUCUCAAAAAAAAUACUUGAUGUGAAUUUAGAUUUCAUACGAUUUACAGCUGAAAAAGUAGAUUCACAUAGCCAAGUUAGUCCAAGAACACUUAAAACUUUCUAUAACUGCAUCAAGUAUCAUUUUUAAAAUUUAAAAAUAUUAAAAUUAAAUUUAAAAAAAUUAGUUCCUCAGUCGCACUAGUCAUAUUUCAAAUGCUCAAUAGUUUUACAAGGCUGGUGGCUACCACAUUGAAGAGUACAGAAAAUUUUCCCUAUGAAAAGGUACAAGGAUGUGAUUCAGUAUACCAUCAAGAAUCAAACCAGUCAACCAAUAGGUAAAUAUUGAGUGUCUCUCACGUGUUGCAUGUAGUAGAUAUAGUGGCAGCUAAAACACCCUUGGCCAGGACAAGUUAGCUAUAAGGACUUUGCAAUUGGAGUUACAUGGAAGGAAUAAGAAUUGGCCAUUCUCCAGGCACAGUGGCUCACGCCUGUAAUCUCAGCACUUUCAGAGGCCAAGGUGGGUGGAUCACCUGAGGUCAGGAGUUUGAGACCAGCCUGACCAACAUGGUGAAACCCCGUCUCUACUAAAAAAAAACACAAAAAUUAGCCAGGCAUGGUGGCGGGUGCUUUUGUAAUCCCAGCUACUCGGGAGGCUGAGGCAGGAGAAUCACUUGAAGCAGGGAGGUGGAGGUUGCAGUGAGCCGAGAUCACGCCAUUGCACUCCAGCCUGGGGGACAAGAGUGAGACUCCAUCUCAAAAAAAAAAAAAAAAAAAAAAAAAUUGGCCAUGUUCAUAGCUUUGGAUCAGAGCUACUCAGGAAGAAGGUAAAGUUGGCUUUUAUUUGAUCUUUGGUAAACAGCCUAUUUGCAAUACUUGAUUUUCAUCUCAGUAAUACAUCCUGGAGGCCUAGUUACGUGGUACAUUUUGUAAUCUGGUGAGAAGCUCUGCAACAAACCCAAGAGCACUGAUAAGUGGCCACUUUAACCCUGUAACCUUUCCUGUACAUGAUGGAUAGUACUGGAAGCCCAGCAAGGUGCUAGAAUAUGAAAGCACUAGAAAAAAUCUGUCAUCCGUCUAAACGUACAUGGAGGUUUAUGCUCAAAAGAAAAGAGUAUGUUUCCAAAAGGCAAGUUCAGAGUGUUCAUGAUAGAACUAUUGUUAGCCAAAAACUAGACAUUAUUCCAACACAAAUAGAGAGUAGAAUUCUUUAAUAAACAGUGGGAUUUUCUGGACUAUUCAUGAUGUGAAAUACCAUUCAGUGAUGAGAAUGAAAAACCUACUGCUAUAUCCAAUAAUAUGGAUGAAUCUCACAAAUAUUAUAAUGAGUAAAAAAAGCCAAAUACGAAAAACAACAAAAUGUAGAAUUCUAUUUGUACGGAGUUUAAAAACAGGGAAAGUGAAUGUUUUAUUUUAGGAGUCAGGAGAGUCAUUAUCCCUGGCAAGGAAUGAGGGGUAAUAAUUAGAAAGCAGCAUAACGAGGGCUCCCGAGGUAUUGGUAAUGCUCUGUUUUGUAAUCUGAAUGCCAGUCAUACAGAUGUUCACUUAAUGAAGAUACUUAUUGUCCACAUACUUUUCUGUAUGUGUCAUACUUUUAAAAAAUGUAUUUAAGCAAUGAAUUCAUUCAUCCGUUUAUUCACUCAUGUGUUAAUUCUCCUGAAGACGAACAGAGUUCUCUAUUCUAGAACUCUAAAGGUAAGCUAGGCAUGUAAGAAAGUCAAAGGCAUCAUUUCAUGCUGUGAUUCCACCUUCUGAAAAUUCAAACAUCCUUCUUGGAGGCAGAGGAAGGAAAACCAAGCAGAUCACAGAGCUGGGGACUCCAUGAGAAUUGGAGGUGGUAAAAAAGAACUUUUGUGCUUAUUGAGGUUACUUUGCCUGGCCUGUCCUCCCCUCACCUCUGCCUAAUGAAAUACUAACCUUCUUCAAGUUCCAUUCAUGACGACUUCUUCUCAAACAAAAAUUACCUUGCCUUCUUCUAAAUUUUUAGGACAUUUGUCUGUGCUAAUCAUAGUUUAUUCCCAUGCAUUAUAAUAAUUUCUAGAAAGCAGUGUAAUGUUGUGUUUAAAAGCUUGGGCUGCAGAGUCAAGCAGGGUUCAAGACCUUCCAUCACUUGCUGUGUGACCUGGAGCAAAUUGCUUAAUCAGUAUGCAUUUUUUUCUCUGUUGUAAAAUGAAGGUGAUAAUAGCUGGACCUAUCUAAUAAGCUGUUAUGGAGAUGAAAAGAGAUAAUGGAUGUACAGCUGCUGGAAAUCAGUAAAAUCUCAGGAAAUGUUUCCUAUUAUUUUUACUGAGUACUAUCUACUCUAGCAGAUAAUAGGUUCCUGAAGAACAUGGAACAUGACUCAGAGAAGUUACAGUGAAUAAACUCAUUACAGACAUCUCAGAUUGGCUUGCCUUACAUGUAGUCAUGUUCUUUUUUCUCAUACACUAGCUUAAACUCCUCUAGAACAGGACCUACAACUUAUUCAUUGUAAUAUUCCUCACACAGCAUAACACUGGGUUUUAGGUUACAUAGAUGGGUUAUAAUCUCAUUUUAUUAAUGAGUUGAAGCCACUGAGGAAGUCUUGCCCUUUCUCGUUUAGCGAUGCUCAAAGCAAACCAAAGAUAACUUCUAUAAACUCCCCCUAUGAAUUCUCUUACUUCUAGGGUGACCAACCAUUCUAGUUCAUGAAGGGCUGUCCUGGUUUUGGCACUGAAAGUUCCGUGAUUCCAGAAACCCCUCAGUCCUAGACAAACCAGACCUGUUGAUCCCCCUACCUGCCUCUGUGCCCAUAUGCUCAGGCUAGCUUGUUUGUUUGUUCAUUUGUUUGUUUGUUUGAGAUGGAGCCUCACUCUUGUUGCUGGAGUGCAAUGGCACGAUCUCGGCUCACUGCAACCUCCGCCUCCCAGGUUCAAGUGAUUCUCCUGCCUCAGCCUCCUGAGUAGCUGGGAUUACAGGCACCUGCCAACACGCCCACCUAAUUUUUGUAUUUUUAGUAGAGACAGGGUUUCACCAUGUUGGCCAGACUGCUCUUGAACUCCUGACCUCAGGCGAUCCACGCACCUCUGCCUCCCUGGGAUUACAGUCGUGAGCCACCGUGCCCGGCCACUUGUUGUUUUUAUUGAUGAAUCAUCCUUGCUCCUAUCUAAAGCCAAGUCUUCAUUCUGGUUGGCAUUUUCUCUACUUAUUCAACUACUGGGCUCUUGAAAUUCUCCUCCCUCUUUCCUGCAUCAUCAAUCUUUUUCCUUCUACUGAACCACUUCCAUUAGCAUAUAAACACGCUAUAAUUUUUCCUACUAAAAAAUGCUUUAAGAGACCUGGUAUGUUGGCUCACACCUGUAAUCCCAGCUUUGGGAUCCCUAUAAUCCCAGCCUGUAAUCCCUCACUUUGGGAGGCUGAGGUGGGCAGAUCUCUUGAGCUCAGGAGUUUGAGACCAGCCUAGGCAACAAAGUGAGACCCUGUCUCAACAAAAAAAAUAGCCAGCCAUGGUGGCUCAUGCCUAUAGUCCCAGCUACUCAGGAGGCUGAGGUCGGGGGAUGGCUUGAACCUGGGAGGCAGAGGUUGCAGUGAGCUGAGAUCAUGCCACUGUACUCUAGAGUGAGCUACAGAGCCUGACCAAAAAAAAAAAAAAGCCUUAAAAAUUAAAAACAUCUGAACUUGUUUCUAGACACAGGUAAAAAAUAAUAAUAAUACAAAAAUUAAAACAACAACAAAAUGUCCCAAGCCUACAUCUCCUUCAACCUACCACCCCAAUUCUUGGCUCCCCUUUAUAACAAAACUCCUUGAAUGAAUUGUCUAUACACAGUCUCCACUUCCAAUUCCCCUUUUCUCAUUCUUUGUUGAACGACUUCAAUCAGGUUUUUAUUCCCAACUCUCCACAGAAAUAGGUCUUGUCACAAUUUGCCAAUGAUCUGGAAUUUUCCUAGGCUAUGGAAUUAUGAGAAAUAAACUCCUAUUGUAAUAAA